GGCUGCAACUCGCCUGUAUGAAGUUGGAAUUGCUAGUAAUCGCGGAUCAGCAUGCCGCGGUGAAUACGUUCCCGGGCCUUGUACACACCGCCCGUCACACCAUGAGAGCCGGUAAUACCCGAAGUCAGUAUCCUAACCGCAAGGAGGGAGCUGCCGAAGGUAGGAUUGGCGAUUGGGGUGAAGUCGUAACAAGGUACC
This 198-nucleotide ribosomal RNA is filed under the name uncultured bacterium. RNAcentral describes it as "partial 16S ribosomal RNA". It matches the Rfam family "Bacterial small subunit ribosomal RNA", at positions 1303 to 1500 of the family's 1533-position model. The record is from RNAcentral.